AGAGCGAACGCUGGCGGCGUGCUUAACACAUGCAAGUCGAGUGCGCAGUUUUCUGUAGCAAUACAGGAAACCGGCGCACGGCGCACGGGUGCGUAACACGUGGAUAACCUGCCCUCCAAAGGGGGAUAACCCCGCGAAAGCGGGGCUAAUACCGCAUGACAUUCCGAGAACCUCGGUUUUUGGAAUCAAAGCCCGCAAGGGCGUUGGGGGAGGGGUCCGCGGCCGAUUAGCUUGUUGGCGAGGUAAUGGCUCACCAAGGCAAUGAUCGGUAGCCGGUCUGAGAGGAUGGCCGGCCACACUGGAACUGAGACACGGUCCAGACUCCUACGGGAGGCAGCAGUGGGGAAUAUUGCGCAAUGGGCGAAAGCCUGACGCAGCGACGCCGCGUGGGGAUGAAGCUUCUCGGAGUGUAAACCCCUUUCGACCCGGACGAACGCCCGCAAGGCUUGACGGUACGGGUAUAAGAGCCCCGGCUAACUACGUGCCAGCAGCCGCGGU
This 498-nucleotide ribosomal RNA is filed under the name uncultured bacterium. Its description in RNAcentral is "SSU rRNA". It matches the Rfam family "Bacterial small subunit ribosomal RNA", at positions 26 to 521 of the family's 1533-position model. The record is from RNAcentral.